GAUAUUUAUGAUCUUUGUAUGCUUGGAUAGUUUUGUUUUGAAAUUAUAUGUAAAUUUUUGUGUGUUUAUUUUAUUCUUAAGGAUUAAAAUUUAUAUUUGCAAUUUUUAUUUUUGAUUUUUUGGUAAUUCAAGAUUCAGUUAAUUAUAAUUUGAGUUGUAAAAAGUUGUGCCAGCAUACGCGGUUACACCUCUGUCUCUAAUUAUCCUUUUCGAUAAAUAUUUAUAUUUUUAUUUAUGAAGGUUAUUUUAAUUUUUUUAGGUGAAAUUUUAAUUUUAAUUUUUCUUUUGGUUAAGAUUAAUAUGAAAGUAAUUUUAUAAACUAGGAUUAGAUACCCUAUUAUUUUUACUGUAAUUUAUAUUCUUGUUAUUAAUAGUUAUGUUCUUUAAAUUAAUAAGAUUUGGCGGUAAUUUAAUCUUUUCAGAGGAAUCUGUUCUUUAAUUGAUAAUCCACAAUUGGUUUUACUUUAAUUUUUUUUGUAUACCUCUGUCAUUGAAUGUCUUAUUAGGGUAUUUUCUGGUUUUAUUAUUUAUUUAAUGUCAAGUCAAGGUGCAGAUAUAUUAAAGCUUGUAAUGGAUUACAUUUAAUUUAUUUAUUGGUUAGGAAUUUUUUACUUUUUCUUUAAAAAGGAUUUGAAUGUAAAUUUUAAUAAAUAUUAAGGUUGAUUUUGCUCUAAACUAUGUACAUAUCGCCCGUCACUCUCACUUUUAAGGUGAGAUAAGUCGUAACAAAGUAAUUUUAUUGGAAAAUGAAGUUGGAAUAAUUC
RNAcentral lists this non-coding RNA (764 nucleotides) under Macropes dentipes. Lineage: Eukaryota; Metazoa; Arthropoda; Insecta; Hemiptera; Blissidae. The record is from RNAcentral.